RNAcentral lists this transfer RNA (72 nucleotides) under Camelus ferus (Wild Bactrian camel). It matches the Rfam family "tRNA". From Rfam's summary of the family: Transfer RNA (tRNA) molecules are approximately 80 nucleotides in length. Their secondary structure includes four short double-helical elements and three loops (D, anti-codon, and T loops). Further hydrogen bonds mediate the characteristic L-shaped molecular structure. tRNAs have two regions of fundamental functional importance: the anti-codon, which is responsible for specific mRNA codon recognition, and the 3' end, to which the tRNAs corresponding amino acid is attached (by aminoacyl-tRNA synthetases). tRNAs cope with the degeneracy of the genetic code in two manners: having more than one tRNA (with a specific anti-codon) for a particular amino acid; and 'wobble' base-pairing, i.e. permitting non-standard base-pairing at the 3rd anti-codon position. The record is from Rfam by way of RNAcentral. Lineage: Eukaryota; Metazoa; Chordata; Mammalia; Artiodactyla; Camelidae.
GAAGGUGUAGCUCAGCGGUAGAGCACACGCUUAGCAUGCACAAGGUCCUGGGUGCAGUCCCCAGUACCUGCA